UAGAAGGAAAUUAAUUGAUGCAAAUCCAGAUAAAGUACACAACGCAUGGAAUGUGAUGCAUUUAAUAUUUCCAGUAGUUAGUACGACGUUUGCAAGCUUUAAAUCUAUGUAUGGGGGCAUACCAAAAGAUUUCAUAGACUACUUAUUUAUUGAUGAAGCAGGACAAG
This 167-nucleotide small RNA is filed under the name Staphylococcus aureus. Its description in RNAcentral is "HMPRFS0000_0084". The record is from RNAcentral. Lineage: Bacteria; Bacillati; Bacillota; Bacilli; Caryophanales; Staphylococcaceae.